Molecule: RNA transcript, 3138 nt
Organism: Eleginops maclovinus (Patagonian blennie)
Lineage: Eukaryota; Metazoa; Chordata; Actinopteri; Perciformes; Eleginopidae
Gene name: sialic acid-binding Ig-like lectin 12
Exons: 10
Source: RefSeq, a predicted model, not a curated record
UGAAUGAUGAAAAGAGGAAGUAAAUCUAGUCUUUCAGCAACCUGAUAUCCGUCUUCUGCUCAUUGACGACAGAGGAAAGGCGUCUUUGAACACAUCGUUCCUCCUUCACUUCUCACAGAGAUGAGAGGAGCAGCUAUGAGUUUAACUGCAGCAGCGAGUGGAUUAGUGGUCUUCCUGCUCUCUGUGUCAGUGGUUCAGGGUCAGGAUGUCUGGGGAGUGGCUUACUCUUCUACUGAGAUCUGUGCAGUGAAAGGAUCAACAGUGGAGAUAAACUGCAGCUACACAUACCCAUCUACAUGGAGAGGUGGUGUUAACACAGUAGAGAAAACAUUCUGGUUUACUAAACAGAAAGGUGGUGAACCUGUAGAUCUGAGAACAGACUCAGAGUAUGCAGGUCGUGUAGAGACUCUCUGUGGAAACAACACCUGCACUCUGAGAAUCAGAAACCUGAGAGAGAGAGACUCAGCUCAGUACAGGUUCAGGUUCACAACAAAACAAGGUGCUUAUGCUGGUGAACCAGUCACUCUGUCUGUCCCAGAUCCAGGUAUCCAGGUGAAGGUGAGUAAAACAAGUUCCUGCUAUGGAAGCUGUAUAUAUGCAGACCUGGAGUGUGUCCGCGGUUGUCUUCCAACUUCUCGUCGUUCCUACAUCUGGUACAAGGAUGGACAGAAAAUAGCAAAGGAUGCAAAAUCUUUUAAUGACUAUUUCUAUCCUAAAGAAAGCUAUGCCUGUGCUGUUAAAGGAUAUGAGAAUGUCCCCUCUCCUUCAGUGUGUGUUAAUGGUGGAGUCUGCAAUACUGUGACUUACAGUGAGAGAAGCAUCUGUGCCUUCAAAGGAUCAUCAGUGGACAUUUCCUGCACGUACAGUAGUAAUGAAGACCAUGUUAAAUCUAAAUUCUGGUUCAGACCUGAGCGUAGUCAUCAGGACCUUAGUGAAGACUCCCAGUAUAGAAAACGUGUUCAGGUUCUUUCACCAAGGAGAGAAUCCACUCUGAGGAUCUCUGACCUGAGAGACUCAGAUUCAGCUCAGUAUCUCUUCACAUUCAAAACAGCAAGCUCUGAAUGGGGGAGGGAUUUACCUGGAACCACUCUGACUGUCACAGCUCUCCAGGUGCAGGUGAUCAGAGCAAAGGUCUACACCUAUUCUACUGAGGCAGAGCUGAAGUGUCACAGCUCCUGCAGUCCGGCUGGUUCCCUGUACUACGUCUGGUUCAAGAACGGAGAGACAAUCAUGACCACGGGGAUAUCUUCUUAUGAAGGACUGUUUCAUCCCAGAGACAACAUCUCUUGUGCUCUGAAAGGACAUGAAGACUUCCCCUCUCCUGCAGUGUAUGCUCCAAAGCUCCCCUCUGUGUCAGUGAGUCCCUCUGCUGAGAUAGAGGAGGGCAGUUCAGUGACUCUGACCUGUAGCAGUGAUGCUAACCCAGCAGCUAACUACACCUGGUACAAGGAGAAUGAAGACUCUCCAAACGCUUCAGGACAGAUCUUCACCAUCACUGACUUCAGAGCUGAACACAGUGGGAGUUAUUCCUGUGAAGCCCAGAACAAGUUAGGACGUAGUAACUCCACCUUACAUCUGAUUGUUGCAACAGGAGCCUGGAAUUCUACAGCCGUUGGAAUAACCACUGUUGUUGUCCUGGCAGUCAUCCUCCUCUUUAUCUUUUUAUUGAUUAGAAAGAAGCAAGGUGCCAAGCGAUCGCCUGAGCCCGAAGAGUCACCAGUCAACAGGAUACAGGUGAGAAGGAAUGCAAAAAGCUGGCCCACAGAACUUCAUGUCUUAAAAGAUGUGAUUAAAGGUAGAAAAGACACCUCAGUAGGGCCCAGGAUCCGGCACCUCUCCAGCUCCCAGUCCACAUUUUGUAGUUUUAGUCUUGAACCUGUGAUCCUUUGGUUCCCAAGCCUACAGACUGAACUACUGCUGGUCCACGACAGAGGUUCAAGUAAAGCUCAAGAUUGAUUAAGGGGACAUUGGGGAUUAUUUUCCUUCACACAUUCCAUCGCAACACAAACCCAAACCCAUUUAGGUAAUCUUGUCUAUGCAAUAUCUGCCCCUCAGGGGGAGUCAGUUGAGCUUCUCUAUGCCAACAUUAAGUUCUCCAAGACCCAGGCAGUUCCUCCCUCCUCCAACAUCAGCCCUGCUCAGCCUCAUGGACACAGAGAGGAGGAUAAUGUCAUGUACGCCGAGGUCAAGUUUAACAGCGCAUCCCCGAGACGUCAGAAGUCAGCUACAGAAGAGUAUUCAACGGCACUGUACAGCAGUUAACAAAACCAGGACACAGUAGGAAUCUACAUCCCAUAAUGUAUAUUAAAGGGGCCCAAUCAUGCUCUCCUGUAGUGUGUUAUAGGUUUUGGUGACACACUAUAGAACACUCGCGCUUCUUUUGGCUAGCAUUCCAACACAUUGUACGUGAUAGGCUAAGGGGCGGGACAUCUCUAAGAGGGUGACCAAUCGCAACAGUCAGAGCAGACUGGGCUCUGGUUUCAGACAGAGGGUGAAAAGAGAUGCUGGGGCUUAAGAAAGAAAGAAAGAUGUACUUUUAUUAAUUAAUGGGGAAAUUCACAUUCUGCAUUUGAGCCAUCCUAGUGCCCGGAGCAGUGGGUUGGGACACCAGGGUAGCACUUGGCCUUUCGGGUACUUGAACUGGAACUAGUUCCCAGGCCAAGACCCUAACCACUUUGUCACCACCCCCAAGGUGCUUAAAACAGGCUUAAGCAGGUGAUUACAAAAAGACUAUGUUACUUUCUGUGGCUUUAAUAACUAUGUAGCUUAUUGAAUGCCUUCUUUUGUAAAUAUAAUGUAUAUGAAAUAGCCUAUUUUGAUAAAAAUGUACGGCAUGACAACCAUUGUUAAUCUUUUAUCUAAUCUCUGGAUUUGUGUAGAUAGAUACGACUCACACUUUAUUUAGAGGGAAUCAGACACCUCCAGAUAGCUUUUAUUAUCAAUUUUACAAAAAAUAUAACAAUUGAACCUAACUGUUAACUUGUAAAACAUGAGACAACCUUUGAAAUAGAAAUAAUGAGUGUACAGACCGAUGUGUUUAUUUUAGCUCUUGUUAUGUUAGGCACACUGUUUUUGUUUUGUAAUAUAAACCAUUAAAAAAAGCUCUAAUAAAGCGGCUGUUUGGUGAUUUGUAAUGAA